This 484-nucleotide ribosomal RNA is filed under the name uncultured bacterium. Its description in RNAcentral is "partial 16S ribosomal RNA". It matches the Rfam family "Bacterial small subunit ribosomal RNA", at positions 30 to 507 of the family's 1533-position model. The record is from RNAcentral.
AUUGAACGCUGGCGGCAGGCCUAACACAUGCAAGUCGAGCGGAUGAAGGGAGCUUGCUCCUGGAUUCAGCGGCGGACGGGUGAGUAAUGCCUAGGAAUCUGCCUGGUGGUGGGGGAUAACGUCCGGAAACGGGCGCUAAUACCGCAUACGUCCUGAGGGAGAAAGUGGGGGAUCUUCGGACCUCACGCUAUCAGAUGAGCCUAGGUCGGAUUAGCUAGUUGGUGGGGUAAAGGCCUGCCAAGGCGACGAUCCGUAACUGGUCUGAGAGGAUGAUCAGUCACACUGGAACUGAGACACGGUCCAGACUCCUACGGGAGGCAGCAGUGGGGAAUAUUGGACAAUGGGCGAAAGCCUGAUCCAGCCAUGCCGCGUGUGUGAAGAAGGUCUUCGGAUUGUAAAGCACUUUAAGUUGGGAGGAAGGGCAGUAAGUUAAUACCUUGCUGUUUUGACGUUACCAACAGAAUAAGCACCGGCUAACUUCGUG